Molecule: RNA transcript, 697 nt
Organism: Amphiprion ocellaris (clown anemonefish)
Lineage: Eukaryota; Metazoa; Chordata; Actinopteri; Pomacentridae
Gene name: transmembrane protein 273-like
Exons: 4
Source: RefSeq, a predicted model, not a curated record
UCAAGUCUUCAACGAUCCACGCAACCAUCACUCUCCUUAUAAGAAGAAGAGCUUGACUGAGACAAAUUUAAACAAAGACAUGUCGUGAAUCAAUAAUGCUUUAAGUGUAAGUGUAUAAUUGGAAAGUCAUCUCAGUCAUGGAGAAGCUUUAAUGUUCACGGUCAAGGAUGGUUUGACGAACAGUAGACUGGUUGCUGAUGAGUGUGAGGGGAGAUGGAGCAGAUUCUGAAGAACAACUAGAAAUUAAGUACGUUUUGAUCGGAUGUGGGAUCGGCCUGUUCUUAGUUGUUGGAUUCAUUCUGAUGAAGGUCUGCAUCAUCAGGAAGCAAGUGAGUGAAACAGAAAAGCGUCAUCAGAGCGCUCCGAGCCGCCUCAGCCAAUCAGAGCGUCCCGUGACGAGGGUGUCCAGUGACUUGCAAUGUUAAAGGUCAGGCAGAGUGAUGUGAACCCUGCAAAGGAGGCAUGUGGGUGAAAGGUCAACCAGGCGGCCCGUUGUCUGCUCACGUUUUGCCACAUAAAUAUCAAAAUAGAACUGUUUUCCUGUUUUUACCUCCUCAAUAUCAUGAAUCAUUAUAGUGUUCAUAAUUCAUGAUCCUCUAUAGAGGAUCUGUAAAAAUGCAUUUUGAUCCGGAUGUGGAGAGUUGUCUUGUUAAAAAAAAUCUUAAUAAAUGAGGUUUAGGCCAUUUAGGAGCCUGAA